This 275-nucleotide ribosomal RNA is filed under the name uncultured bacterium. RNAcentral's name for it is "partial 16S ribosomal RNA". It matches the Rfam family "Bacterial small subunit ribosomal RNA", at positions 523 to 796 of the family's 1533-position model. The record is from RNAcentral.
AUACGUAGGGGGCAAGCGUUGUCCGGAAUUAUGGGGCGUAAAGAGCUCGUAGGCGGUUCGGUAAGUCGGGUGUGAAAAUCCAGGGCUCAACCCUGGGACGCCACUCGAUACUGCUGUGACUAGAGUCCGGUAGAGGAGCGUGGAAUUCCUGGUGUAGCGGUGAAAUGCGCAGAUAUCAGGAGGAACACCAGCGGCGAAGGCGGCGCUCUGGGCCGGUACUGACGCUGAGGAGCGAAAGCGUGGGGAGCAAACAGGAUUAGAAACCCCGGUAGUCC